GUACAUGCUACCCUUGGUGGAAAAAUAUUUUUAAUUCUUUUUGUGGUAAUCAGAUGGAUCCCAAAUUUUUACAGUAACUCAUUGAUGACAUAAGUAAGGUGUUGUAAUUUUCUCAAUCUCAUAUGUUCCUGUUUGCUUGUGGAACCACAUUUUGGAUAAGAAAUCGAUUUAAGGGAAUAAAGAAAUAUAAGUCCUAAUACACCUAAUGGGUAAUUUUUGGAAGAGAUACAAAAAAAUAUUCAAAAGUAAAUAACUCUCCAAAUGAACCCCGAACAAACCUAAACAUGACCCCACCUUCUUUAUGCAACUCUAAGUUGUAAGAAUCUUAUAUGUACACAAUCACCAUCAAAGUCAACCUCGAGUUUAAACCACAACCCACCUUACUUUAUGAAGUUAAUAAAAGUUAGAACCUUGUUUAGGUGAAUGUGACCGAAAUACAACUUUCUUUCUAGCAAUGAGUCAUGCCUUGCAUCAUUCGUACAAAAGCAUGGAAAAAUCUAAACUCUUGCAUAUGCAUGUCAUGUAGAAGCUAAUAUCGCCGACGGAACCUACGAGCUCCACCCUACGUUGGAAGAGGAAACCGUCACAGAGCUACAUCACGCGGAAGUUGAGCCCGAGCUAGAUCAAG
This 628-nucleotide long non-coding RNA is filed under the name Setaria viridis. RNAcentral's name for it is "long non-coding RNA (SVIR_LNC010596)". Lineage: Eukaryota; Viridiplantae; Streptophyta; Magnoliopsida; Poales; Poaceae. The record is from RNAcentral.